Molecule: ribosomal RNA, 370 nt
Filed under: uncultured Nitrososphaerota archaeon
Lineage: Archaea; Thermoproteati; Nitrososphaerota
Description: bacterial SSU rRNA
Rfam family: Archaeal small subunit ribosomal RNA
Source: RNAcentral
AGCAUCCGUAGCCGGCUGCUCAAGUUUCCGGUUAAAUCCACACGCUUAACGUAUGGGCUGCCGGAAAUACUGUUCAGCUAGGGAGUGGGAGAGGUAGACGGUACUCGAUAGGAAGGGGUAAAAUCCUUUGAUCUAUUGAUGACCACCUGUGGCGAAGGCGGUCUACCAGAACACGUUCGACGGUGAGGGAUGAAAGCUGGGGGAGCAAACCGGAUUAGAUACCCGGGUAGUCCCAGCUGUAAACGAUGCAGACUCGGUGAUGCAUUGGCUUAUGGCCAGUGCAGUGCCGCAGGGAAGCCGUUAAGUUUGCCGCCUGGGAAGUACGUACGCAAGUAUGAAACUUAAAGGAAUUGGCGGGGGAGCACAAGCC